UACGGAGGGUGCGAGCGUUAAUCGGAAUUACUGGGCGUAAAGCGUGCGCAGGCGGCGCGUUAAGACAGGUGUGAAAGCCCCGAGCUUAACUUGGGAAUUGCGCUUGUGACUGGCGUGCUGGAGUGUGGCAGAGGGAGGUGGAAUUCCACGUGUAGCAGUGAAAUGCGUAGAGAUGUGGAGGAACACCGAUGGCGAAGGCAGCCUCCUGGGCCAGCACUGACGCUCAUGCACGAAAGCGUGGGGAGCAAACAGG
RNAcentral lists this ribosomal RNA (253 nucleotides) under uncultured bacterium. RNAcentral's name for it is "partial 16S ribosomal RNA". It matches the Rfam family "Bacterial small subunit ribosomal RNA", at positions 524 to 776 of the family's 1533-position model. The record is from RNAcentral.